GACGAACGCUGGCGGCGUGCUUAACACAUGCAAGUCGAACGGAAAGGCCCCUUUGGGGGUCCUCGAGUGGCGAACGGGUGAGUAACACGUGAGUAACCUGCCCUUGACUUCGGGAUAACUUCAGGAAACUGGGGCUAAUACCGGAUAGGAAUCCUUGCUGCAUGGUGGGGGUUGGAAAGCUUCGGCGGUUUUGGAUGGACUCGCGGCUUAUCAGCUUGUUGGUGGGGUAGUGGCUUACCAAGGCUUUGACGGGUAGCCGGCCUGGGAGGGCGACCGGCCACAUUGGGACUGAGAUACGGCCCAGACUCCUACGGGAGGCAGCAGUGGGGAAUAUUGCACAAUGGGCGGAAGCCUGAUGCAGCAACGCCGCGUGCGGGAUGACGGCCUUCGGGUUGUAAACCGCUUUCAGCAGGGGCGAAGCUUGUGGUGACGGUACCUGCAGAAGAAGCACCGGCUAACUACGUG
This 465-nucleotide ribosomal RNA is filed under the name uncultured bacterium. RNAcentral describes it as "partial 16S ribosomal RNA". It matches the Rfam family "Bacterial small subunit ribosomal RNA", at positions 28 to 507 of the family's 1533-position model. The record is from RNAcentral.